GAUGAACGCUGGCGGCGUGCCUAAUACAUGCAAGUCGAGCGAACAGAUGAGGAGCUUGCUCCUCUGACGUUAGCGGCGGACGGGUGAGUAACACGUGGAUAACCUACCUAUCAGACUGGGAUAACUUCGGGAAACCGGAGCUAAUACCGGAUAAUAUAUUGAACCGCAUGGUUCAAUAGUUAAAGACGGUUUUGCUGUCACUUAUAGAUGGAUCCGCGCCGCAUUAGCUAGUUGGUAAGGUAACGGCUUACCAAGGCAACGAUGCGUAGCCGACCUGAGAGGGUGAUCGGCCACACUGGAACUGAGACACGGUCCAGACUCCUGCGGGAGGCAGCAGUAGGGAAUCUUCCGCAAUGGGCGAAAGCCUGACGGAGCAACGCCGCGUGAGUGAUGAAGGUCUUCGGAUCGUAAAACUCUGUUAUUAGGGAAGAACAAAUGUGUAAGUAACUAUGCACGUCUUGACGGUACCGAAUCAGAAAGCCACGGCUAACUACGUG
RNAcentral lists this ribosomal RNA (497 nucleotides) under uncultured bacterium. Its description in RNAcentral is "partial 16S ribosomal RNA". It matches the Rfam family "Bacterial small subunit ribosomal RNA", at positions 28 to 507 of the family's 1533-position model. The record is from RNAcentral.